GUUGUGUGUGUAUCUCUGUAGUUAAGUGUGUGUGUGUGUGUGUGUGUGUAUAUAUAUAUAUAUAUGUGUGUGUGUGUGUGUACACACACACACACACACUUAACUACAGAGAUACACA
This is a non-coding RNA of Pelobates cultripes (western spadefoot toad), 118 nucleotides long. The record is from the annotation of a GenBank genome assembly. Lineage: Eukaryota; Metazoa; Chordata; Amphibia; Anura; Pelobatidae.